AUUCGGUGAUUUUAAUAAUUUGUAAAAAUUAGGACAUAAAAUCAUAUUUAAAAAAGUUUAUUCAAAAAAUCAAAAAAGACAACUCCAACUCCAACUCCAACUCCACUCCAACUCCAAAAAUUUUAAUUUUCAUGGUCAAACAUUGCUAAGUAUCUUGAAAAUUCAAUAUAUUUGGAUCUAAAAACUAAGCCUUUUUUUCAUAGAGUGAAUUUUGAUUACUUCUAAUAUUUGUAUAUGAAAAAUAUUAUUUGUAGGCUUACCAAAAUGAAUUAUUGCCACGCGCAGUGCGGGUUUGUUACCUAGUACCAUAUAACCAGCUUACAUUUGUUAAUUUUCUUAAUUGCUUAGUUUUAAAAUUGGGAAUAGUUGGAGAUAAAAGGAUUUAUUCUAACGAGUACACAUUAUUAUAAAGUAAAAUGAGGAGAAAAAUUAAUUUUAAAGCAUUCCUUACAAAUUUGGGGCUUCAAACAUCACAUUUUUUUAGGUAACAUAUACACACAGAAUUACUAGAAAAAGAGAAGAUAAAAAAAAUGUUAGGAUGCUAAUUAAUGAAGUAUUUCUCCAAAAGGCUAGAGAAUAAAAGGGCUAUUCUUGCACAAAACAUUCCACAUUCAUGUACCGUCCCAAAAAGGUCACACCCAAACAAAAAUGACGAUUAUAGUCUAACCUAAUGUGAAGCAUUAGUGAUCGACUUUCAUCCGAAUUCAUGACCGGUAGACAAUAGGAAGACAGCUUCACUAUGUAUAUCGCUCAAAUAUAUCGUCCUAGUGGUCAUAGAGCCUCCUCUUAUCCAGUAUUCGGUCUUCUAUGUCUGAAAACUCACAAAUACAAUCCAAAUUUUGAACAAUAUUACGUUAGUUAGGCAACCGAAAGCAAAUAUGAUAAUCUCUCUUAGAGAGAUUGAUAUAUAGAGAAAAAAAACUAUUAAUUAGAACAUUACGAGUAAAUAUUCAUAAACAGGAGAUUUAUAAUCUUGAUUCUUGAAAAUAAAGCAUUUCACCAGUAUAAAUCAAAACAAAAAAGCGCAAACCCUAGAAAUGAAUUUAAAUCUUAUGCACUGACUUUAUAAAAAAAUAUAUUUAUUUAAUUUACACAAUUAUUUUACUUGAAUAUAAGAUAUAACUACGGGUAAAGCCGAAAAUAAACAUCACUACUAAUUGGUGAUUCGACUAAUAUGGUAACUGAAACUUAAACUAUACUCAACUCAUGAAUACCCCUAAAUGUAGUCAUCUUUUUUCUUGAUAUUAUAGAAAGCCAUGUUAAACUAAUCAAAUAAAUGAAACUGAAAUGAACAACAACAAACAUAGCUAGUCUAGUUCUACGAAGUGAGAUAUGAAGAUGAUAAAAUAUACACAAUCUGUACCACUACCGCAAAUAAAGUGGAGAAACUGUUUCUGAUAGAAAACAGACUCAAAACAAAAAAAUUAUAUAAAAGGACCUAAUAAAAAACAAUAAACAUAAAAAAAAUAACACACCAAUAGAUAUUAACAGAAACAAAACACUCACAUAAUAUAGUAAUUAAACUAUCUAUCUAACAUCACAAAAAUCAUCAGAACACCACAAACAAAAUAAAACUAAAAUGAAGUGCAGAAAAACUGAUGAAAGCAAGUAAUUAUGAGGAGGGAGCUCCCUUCAGUCCAAGCAGAAGAAGCUUAAGAUUCAGUCAGUCUACUGCUUCAUUCGCUCAGCUGCCAAGGCCUUCUUUCUUUGACUCUCAAAACCUUAGCAUUUGUGUGAAUGAGUCAGAAGCUAAUUGAACCAUACUGCCUCCUAUAUGUGGACUAAAGAAAGCUCUCUACAUGCAAAAAAUUAAUUAACCCCACAUAAGAACAUACAUUCUAAGAAUUUCUUGGAAGAAAAUUUUUCCAUGAUGCAUUGAAAUUGAUAUUGAGAAUCUUUCAGUUUGGGAGGUAAUGGGGAAGGAACACUGGGAAAUUGGUAAUAGAAGAAUGGCUUUAUAUAGGCUAAGAGAAAGGGAGUGA
Molecule: long non-coding RNA, 1982 nt
Filed under: Capsicum annuum
Lineage: Eukaryota; Viridiplantae; Streptophyta; Magnoliopsida; Solanales; Solanaceae
Description: long non-coding RNA (CANN_LNC018780)
Source: RNAcentral